GAUGAAGAACGCAGCGAAAUGCGAUAAUUAAUGUGAAUUGCAGAAUUUAGUGAAUCAUCGAAUCUUUGAACGCACAUUGCGCCCCUUGGUAUUCCGAGGGGCAUGCCUGUUCGAGCGUCAUUAUAACCCCUCAAGCUCAGCUUGGUGUUGGGGCCUGCUGCACUGGCAGCCCUUAAAAUCAGUGGCGGCGCCAUCUGGCUCUAAGCGUAGUAAUUCUUCUCGCUAUGGAGUCCUGGUGGAUGCUUGCCAUCAACCCCCAAUUUUUCUAUGGUUGACCUCGGAUCAGGUAGGGAUACCCGCUGAACUUAAGCAUAUCAAAACGGAGGA
This 327-nucleotide unclassified non-coding RNA is filed under the name soil metagenome. RNAcentral describes it as "partial contains 5.8S ribosomal RNA, internal transcribed spacer 2, and large subunit ribosomal RNA". The stretch from base 1 to 120 matches the Rfam family "5.8S ribosomal RNA", at positions 35 to 154 of the family's 154-position model. The record is from RNAcentral.